This 276-nucleotide ribosomal RNA is filed under the name uncultured Desulfovibrio sp. Its description in RNAcentral is "partial 16S ribosomal RNA". It matches the Rfam family "Bacterial small subunit ribosomal RNA", at positions 1108 to 1382 of the family's 1533-position model. Lineage: Bacteria; Pseudomonadati; Thermodesulfobacteriota; Desulfovibrionia; Desulfovibrionales; Desulfovibrionaceae. The record is from RNAcentral.
UUGCCAGUUGCUACCAGGUAAUGCUGGGCACUCUGGUGAGACUGCCCCGGUUAACGGGGAGGAAGGUGGGGACGACGUCAAGUCAUCAUGGCCCUUACGCCUACGGGCUACACACGUACUACAAUGGCGCAUACAAAGGGCAGCGAUACCGCGAGGUGGAGCCAAUCCCAAAAAGUGCGUCCCAGUCCGGAUUGCAGUCUGCAACUCGACUGCAUGAAGUUGGAAUCGCUAGUAAUUCGAGAUCAGCAUGCUCGGGUGAAUGCGUUCCCGGGCCUU